Molecule: transfer RNA, 93 nt
Filed under: bacterium CG2_30_33_46
Lineage: Bacteria
Also listed under: 3 other names
Description: tRNA-Ser
Rfam family: tRNA
About the family: Transfer RNA (tRNA) molecules are approximately 80 nucleotides in length. Their secondary structure includes four short double-helical elements and three loops (D, anti-codon, and T loops). Further hydrogen bonds mediate the characteristic L-shaped molecular structure. tRNAs have two regions of fundamental functional importance: the anti-codon, which is responsible for specific mRNA codon recognition, and the 3' end, to which the tRNAs corresponding amino acid is attached (by aminoacyl-tRNA synthetases). tRNAs cope with the degeneracy of the genetic code in two manners: having more than one tRNA (with a specific anti-codon) for a particular amino acid; and 'wobble' base-pairing, i.e. permitting non-standard base-pairing at the 3rd anti-codon position.
Source: RNAcentral
GGAGAGGUGCCCGAGUGGCUUAAGGGAACGGUUUGCUAAACCGUCAGUGGUCUAAAAACCGCUUCGCGGGUUCGAAUCCCGCUCUCUCCGCCA